UACGGAGGGUGCAAGCGUUGUUCGGAUUUACUGGGCGUAAAGCGCGCGCAGGUGGGUGAACAAGUCGGAAGUGAAAUCUUGAGGCUCAACCUCGAGGCUGCUCCCGAAACUGUUCGCCUGGGGACUGGUAGAGGCUGGUAGAAUUCCCGGUGUAGCGGUGGAAUGCGUAGAGAUCGGGAAGAAUACCCGUGGCGAAGGCGGCCAGCUGGGCCAGAUCCGACACUGAGGAGCGAAAGCGUGGGUAGCAAACAGG
Molecule: ribosomal RNA, 253 nt
Filed under: uncultured bacterium
Lineage: Bacteria
Description: partial 16S ribosomal RNA
Rfam family: Bacterial small subunit ribosomal RNA
Source: RNAcentral